Mytilus trossulus (common blue mussel) is the source of this 1281-nucleotide long non-coding RNA. RefSeq lists it as uncharacterized. Lineage: Eukaryota; Metazoa; Mollusca; Bivalvia; Mytilida; Mytilidae. The transcript is spliced from 3 exons. The record is from RefSeq and is a predicted model, not a curated record.
UCGCACUUCGUACCCCGAAAAUUUAACCACAUAUGUAAAAAUGUCUCAGCUUCGAAACAAGCCAUCAUACAUUUACAAGUUUACGAUAUGGGCUGAGCAACAGAAGAAAACGUUACCAUUACGGCCUAUGGAGAAACAAUUGCGCAUAUUGCCCCAUCUUGUAAGGAAGGAUCCAGAGAUAUCUUUAGCUAAUUUCACCUUGUACACCACAGAAAAUUGUUAAAAUGAUGGUUAGUAGUUUUUUAUUUAUACCUAGUUAUCAUAAAUGAUUUCAGAUAAAUAUUAUUGAUAAAGAACAGCAAAAAUUCAAUAAAAUUUUCACUUUUAAAUGCAUUACUUGCACGGGGCUGAACACUUUUUUUAGGCACAAUCAUAACUUUGUUUACCCCUGAGAGAUCCGAAAUGAAUUGUUUAUUCAAUUGAAAAAGGCAAGAAAAAACUUACAUGUAAUACAAAUAAAUUUUCCAGACAUAUCAUUACUUUUUAAUAUGAGAUGACAAACUAAAGGUUUUAAAAAGUCCUGAAUAACUGAAAUGGACAAAAAUACAGAUUUAUUCAGAAUGUCAUACCGAUGAAGAUCACCUAAAAAUAUUUGGAAAAAUCAGAACUAUGGAUUUCAAUAUGGGACAAUACCCCUAAUGCACCUUGAAAUGAGGAACACAAAAGUCACGUGUAAACAAAAAAUCUCUGUGUAGUGAUAUUUGACACAUUUCUAUGAUAAACAAAUGACUGAGCUGAACCAUUAGUGUUAAUUUGGAAAGUUAGGGAACACAGAAUAAAUGUGUAAAAACCAUGGAGCUAUGAAAUGUGUUCAGAGUAUUAAAAUUUCAAAGAACUUAUUGUGUUAAAAUUGGGAUUUUUUACCAUGAGAAGGGACAUCGCAAAAGGAUACUCGGGGUUUGCUAAAUUACGGAAAAAUGAAUCACACUUUGUACCCCGAAAAUUUAACCACAUAUGUAAAAAUGUCUCAGCUUCGAAACAAGCCAUCAUACAUAUACAAGUUUACGAUAUGGGCUGAGCAACAGAAGAAAACGUUACCAUUACGGCCUAUGGAGAAACAAUUGCGCAUAUUGCCCCAGAUGAACCAUGCCAGGCAGUUAACAAUUCUUCCAUACAACAAAUAUAAUUGACCUAUUGCUUAACAGUUUAAGACGGACCAAAACACAUAAACUUAACACUAAGCAAUGAACAAUAAAAAUAAAGUCAAUGUCAAAUAAAACCUGGGCGACUGACAUAUAGAUCAUAUAAAAUUUCCAUAUGUACAUCAAAUAUAGUUGACUA